CCUACGGGGGGCUGCAGUGGGGAAUAUUGGACAAUGGGGGCAACCCUGAUCCAGCCAUGCCGCGUGUGUGAAGAAGGCCCUCGGGUUGUAAAGCACUUUCAGUGAGGAAGAACGCCUGGUGGUUAAUACCCAUCAGGAAAGACAUCACUCACAGAAGAAGCACCGGCUAACUCCGUGCCAGCAGCCGCGGUAAUACGGAGGGUGCGAGCGUUAAUCGGAAUUACUGGGCGUAAAGCGCGCGUAGGUGGCUUGAUAAGCCGGUUGUGAAAGCCCCGGGCUCAACCUGGGAACGGCAUCCGGAACUGUCAAGCUAGAGUGCAGGAGAGGAAGGUAGAAUUCCCGGUGUAGCGGUGAAAUGCGUAGAGAUCGGGAGGAAUACCAGUGGCGAAGGCGGCCCUCUGGACUGACACUGACACUGAGGUGCGAAAGCGUGGGUAGCAAACAGGAUUAGAUACCCUAGUAGUC
This 465-nucleotide ribosomal RNA is filed under the name Vreelandella stevensii. Its description in RNAcentral is "partial 16S ribosomal RNA". It matches the Rfam family "Bacterial small subunit ribosomal RNA", at positions 338 to 795 of the family's 1533-position model. The record is from RNAcentral. Lineage: Bacteria; Pseudomonadati; Pseudomonadota; Gammaproteobacteria; Oceanospirillales; Halomonadaceae.